CGAGUGGAGAGUCAUCGGGUUGUAAAUGCUGCGCGGUGCUGCUAACGGCCGGCCGGGAGAACGCUGACUGCGACAGGUUUGCUCCCAUAGGCCGCCACAGCCGCCCCUGCAGCAAUGCUGCCUGACACCACUGACCUACUUUUUCCUGCUUGUCUCUCCACGCCAUCCAGAGCCUCCCACGCUGCGUAGCUGCGCAGCUCCAGCCCUGUGGGAAGCAGUGUCGGCACCACGGCACAAAGCGCAGGCGCAGCAGCAUCCCACCAGCCAGGCCGUAAAAAAAUCUGGACCUUGCAGCACCAUCUAUUGGGAAGUUAAUGGCUUCGUACCAGCUGCCUUGACAAACAGUGAGCCUUUGAUUUGUUUGUCUGUUGUUGUGAGCUUUGAUGGGAUCAGCGUCUGACCUGGCCAUUACCUGCUGGUAAUUAAUCUGUAACAGAACAAUAUCCAUAGUAAAGUACGGCAGAACUAGAAUUCCAUGUAUGAACAGAAAUGAUGCUAGUGACAUUUACGCACAACACAGCCCUAUCUUCCUCCCAGGGACAGACCAUUAGAGGGAUAAAGAACUGUGUUCCUCUUUGCUGCACGCCAUGAGCUGUCCCAGAGUGAUUACUUGAAGUGGAGCUGAAAAUAUUUUACAGAGACCAUUAAGUAGCCAUCUGAUAGUGAUGCCUUAUGAUCAAUAUCUCCAGGAAAUGGCAUUUUCAAAGAUAAGAUCUUUAUGGCGCAUUGCAUCAAGCUUUCCCUCUGUUAGUGGAGUUAGGUGGUGUGAGAUGAUUUCUCCUACAAGGCUUUGGCAAACAGAGUGUCAAGCUGCCUUGCAACCUCAGCCUAAAUGUUUGUGACAGACAGAAUUUGGAUCUACAAGAUGUGAAAUUUACAGAUAAACAAAGGAGAAGAUGGAAGAGCACUUUUAUUUACGAUAUGUAAACAUCCAUUUCGCUCAACCCCAUAGCUUAUGUGAAGAUUCUGCUGAAUCUUAAUGCUGAAAGGAUUACUGAGGUCCCCUGUCAUGUUGAAAAAGGGUAAUAAUCAUGCCACAGAUCAUCUCAAUUGCUCAGAAUGAUACCAUAUGGCUCAAGCAGUGAAAUCAUGCAAGACUGCUGCUUCUGAAAGCAGAAUGUUCUUAGCCAGAAAAGGCUUUUCCUUUUAUUCUGUGAAUUUCAGACUUAACUGAAAACUGAUUCUGCUCCCUUGUCUUUCUUUCUGGUUUUAUGGAUCAAGUACUGCCAAAGUGAGCUGUGAAACUGCAAGGCAACACAUUCAAAGAAGCAAAAACUGGGUAUUGGCAUCAGUGGAAUGAUGGCAGCAUCUCUCUGUGCCCUGGAUUGCUGCUUCUGACAAGGCCAGUGAUGCUUGCUUUGCAGUCAGUGGAUUUCCCUCCCUUGGAAAGUUCAAAUGUACUGCAGUCAUACAUGCUGCCUCAGGCGUCUGCCUCCAUUGACUUGCACUGCUUGAGAACUGUAGACUCUCAGCUUUUCCUAAGCGGUCUGGAAAAUACCACUAUUUCUUAAAGUUAAAUAUUAGUCAUUUUACUAGCUGUAAAUCUAGAAAAUGAGUGUUCCCUCUCUCCUGCUUCUCAAUUUCUGUAAGCCUAAAACAAUGUCUUGUGGUACGUUAGAAGUUUGCUUGUUUUAGAAGAAUCACUGAUCACAGUAGGUUUUUCCAUUUUCUAGGAGCAGCACUGUGAAGCAAAAGUGGAAGAGAUGAGAAUUGGAAAAAAAUAUGAUAGACUUUUAUAGGCCUGGAAAUCAAGAAAACUAUGUCUUCAGAUCACCAGAGGCCCUAGAAGAAUGGAGAAAAAGAGUUUUUGAUGUUAGCUCUCAAGUAAAGAACCAGGCCCUCUGGCUCACAUGAGAUAGAUUGAGGCAAAUAGGCGAAGUCACUUCACUACAAAAUGACACAGGUUUUCCGCUUAGAGAGAUUAGAAAGAGAGACUGCAUGGGAUUUACCCAGGCUGAAAAUUCUCAGUACAAGAGUAUUUAUAAAACUACAGUUAGUGUUUAUUGAACUUGUUCUAUUUUACUGCCUUGAACAAAAGUUUUAUUUAUGUAUCCAAAAGAGGUUUUCUUGUUGUCUGUGUAUAUGCCUGACAAAUUAGUAAAAUGCACAAAAGAAGAUACUGAAAAGAAACCCCAUAAACUAUUUAUACACAGAAAGCAGCAAGUUUGGUCUCUUCAGUUCUAUUUAAUUUCUGAAAAGUGGUUUCGGUUUUUUUCAGUGCAGAGUUCUUGUUCUUUUGACUGUUCUGUAUAACUUCUCUUUCAAGCCUAGGCAUCGACACAUUCCUCUGUUCUUUCUUUUUCUCCACACAUCUGCAUCAGACGUUGUAUUUGUUCAGCAAGACAGCUAAAAUCAUUGCCUUUCAAACUUGAACUAUGCAUUACACUUUCACAGCGGACUCUUGUUUUAAGGAAAACUUUGUUCUUCAUCCAUUCAGCGAUUAGGAAAGAGACAAUUUUACUGCAGAAACACAUGAUCUCAAAUCAUGCACAGAGGGCUUGUAGAAUGGGUACAUCUCUGUAUGCGAAUUCUGAUUUACCUUCAUCUUCCAUCUUUUGAGGUUUUCAGGGUCUAGAUGUAAUACAAGCAGCUCGUUUUGACAGAUUUAGAAUGUCUCAUUUGGUAAUUAGAAUUUCAUAGUAUCAAAGAAUCAUAGAAUCACAAGGUUGGAACGGACAUACAAGAUCAUCAACUAUCCUCCUAUCACCAUUACUAACCAUAUCUUGUAGCACCUGCUGAACACUGCCAGGGACAGCGACUUUACCAUGUCCCUUGGCAGGCCAUUCCAGUGCCUGGCCACUCUCUGAGAGAAAAAGCUUUUCCUUACGUCUAAUCAAGAUCUCCCCUCACACAGCUUAUGGUCAUUUCCUCAGGUCCUGUUUGUUGCCUGGGAGAAGAGGCCAAAUCCUUCUUCACCACAACCUC
Molecule: RNA transcript, 2925 nt
Organism: Centrocercus urophasianus (Greater sage-grouse)
Lineage: Eukaryota; Metazoa; Chordata; Aves; Galliformes; Phasianidae
Gene name: tubulin polymerization-promoting protein family member 2-like
Exons: 5
Source: RefSeq, a predicted model, not a curated record